UGAAGUGUCUCUUUAAAGUUGCACGCUUGCACAUGCUGGGAGGAUAUGGAAGAGGACAGCAAGCACAUGGAGACACCAUCUGUUGUUGGGCAACAAAGCAGCAAAAAAAGAAGUGCCAAUGUGGAGACACACACACACACACACACACACACACACACACACGACAUGAGGCAAAUGGCAAACCAAUAGCAGGCACAGACCGUAUCAACACUGUGAGCAAGCAUUGUUCUGAGAGUGAGAAAUUCAGCAACAUGAAAACAGUCACGAUCAGCUCAAAAGACGGAACGAUCGUAACAAAUGUAAACCCAAUGAGAAUGAACUGACCCAGCACUUAUAUACUACUAAUGCAUUACUUAAAAUCACUUCAACCCUAGACUUCAUUGUUCAGUUAGCAUUAUUCUAUUCUUUCGAGCUGCCAGACUUUAUUCUCCUUGACAAGCUAACGUUGCUCAACUGCGUCAUGCCUCCACACGCUCAGAUGAUUUGAUAUCAGUUCGGGGUGACUUUCAUUUUCCAUUAGCAAAGAAAAUGUCGCAUUGUAUACUGAGGGCUACAGAUAAGGCGCUAAAUCACCCCGGGCUGUACAUUAAAUUAAUUGUAAUAACUGAGGUAAAUGUUAGGUUUCUCAUUCAUGAAGAAAUUACCUGCAAAGGUUGCAGCAAAGACGAACGACAGCGUUGAUGCUAUCACAGACUGGAGAAGCGAGAAAGGUGUCGCACUGAAGCAGGACCGAAUCUUUGAAGACUCCGGCCAUGACGUCUUUCCUGCUGAAGCCGUCUCCUGAUGGAAAACAGCAUUCCAAUCUGAAGGGAGAGUCCCUCUCAUCAUCUCCCAACUCUUCUUGUGACAAAGACGCUCGCCGGAGAUCUUUCUUUACUGAGAACUUUAGUCCUAUUAUGGAGCUGGCAGAUCUGCCUCAGAUCCCUUUGUUCUGCAGAAUCAGCGCUUCUUUCUUGUCUUGGCUCUUAAAGGAAACACGUGAUUGACUGUAAAGAGCUUGGGAACUGUCCGUGUAUGUGAUGAAUGAUUAAAGACAUCU
Gasterosteus aculeatus aculeatus (three-spined stickleback) is the source of this 1039-nucleotide long non-coding RNA. The record is from Ensembl. Lineage: Eukaryota; Metazoa; Chordata; Actinopteri; Perciformes; Gasterosteidae.